This 74-nucleotide transfer RNA is filed under the name Candidatus Staskawiczbacteria bacterium. Its description in RNAcentral is "tRNA-Gly". It matches the Rfam family "tRNA". From Rfam's summary of the family: Transfer RNA (tRNA) molecules are approximately 80 nucleotides in length. Their secondary structure includes four short double-helical elements and three loops (D, anti-codon, and T loops). The record is from RNAcentral. Lineage: Bacteria; Candidatus Staskawicziibacteriota.
GCGAGGUUGGUAUAGUGGUAUUAUGUAACCUUCCCAAGGUUAAGACGCGAGUUCGAUUCUCGUACCUCGCUCCA